Molecule: ribosomal RNA, 423 nt
Filed under: uncultured bacterium
Lineage: Bacteria
Description: partial 16S ribosomal RNA
Rfam family: Bacterial small subunit ribosomal RNA
Source: RNAcentral
GAAUAUUGGACAAUGGGCGCAAGCCUGAUCCAGCCAUACCGCGUGGGUGAAGAAGGCCUUCGGGUUGUAAAGCCCUUUUGUUGGGAAAGAAAAGCAGUCGGCUAAUACCCGGUUUUUCUGACUGUACCCAAAGCAUAAUCCCCGGACACAUUCGUGCCAGCAGCCGCGGUAAUACGAAGGGUGCAAGCGUUAAUCGGAAUUACGGGGCGUAAAGCGUGCGGAGGUGGUUGUUGAAGUCUGUUGUGAAAGCCCUGGGCUCAACCUGGGAAUUGCAGUGGAUACUGGCGACUAGAGUGUGGUAGAGGGUAGUGGAAUUCCCGGUGUAGCAGUGAAAUGCGUAGAGAUCGGGAGGAACAUCCAUGGCGAAGGCAGCUACCUGGACCAACACUGACACUGAGGCACGAAAGCGUGGGGAGCAAACAG